ACGAACGCUGGCGGCGUGCCUAAUACAUGCAAGUCGAACGGUCUUUCUAUGGAAGCUUGCUUCCACUGAGAAGAUAGUGGCGAACGGGUGAGUAACACGUGGGUAACCUGCCCAUAAGAGGGGGGAUAACAUCCGGAAACGGGUGCUAAUACCGCAUAGUUUUCUUGAUCGCAUGAUUGAGAAAGGAAAGACGGCCUUUGUGCUGUCGCUUAUGGAUGGACCCGCGGCGUAUUAGUUAGUUGGUGAGGUAAUGGCUCACCAAGACGAUGAUACGUAGCCGACCUGAGAGGGUGAUCGGCCACAUUGGGACUGAGACACGGCCCAAACUCCUACGGGAGGCAGCAGUAGGGAAUCUUCCGCAAUGGACGAAAGUCUGACGGAGCAACGCCGCGUGAGUGAAGAAGGUUUUUUCGGAUCGUAAAACUCUGUUGUCAGAGAAGAACAAGUUGGAGAGUAACUGCUCCAGCCUUGACGGUAUCUGACCAGAAAGCCACGGCUAACUACGUGCCAGCCGCUGC
Molecule: ribosomal RNA, 518 nt
Filed under: uncultured bacterium
Lineage: Bacteria
Description: bacterial SSU rRNA
Rfam family: Bacterial small subunit ribosomal RNA
Source: RNAcentral